UCUGGCGGCAGCAGCGCGGUGGUCCCACCUGACCCCAUGCCGAACUCAGAAGUGAAACGCCGUAGCGCCGAUGGUAGUGUGGGGUCUCCCCAUGCGAGAGUAGGGAACUGCCAGAC
Molecule: ribosomal RNA, 116 nt
Filed under: Escherichia coli
Lineage: Bacteria; Pseudomonadati; Pseudomonadota; Gammaproteobacteria; Enterobacterales; Enterobacteriaceae
Source: RNAcentral